Molecule: ribosomal RNA, 595 nt
Filed under: Linguatula serrata
Lineage: Eukaryota; Metazoa; Arthropoda; Ichthyostraca; Porocephalida; Linguatulidae
Description: SSU rRNA
Rfam family: Eukaryotic small subunit ribosomal RNA
Source: RNAcentral
CCAUGGUUGUCACGGGUGACGGGGAAUCAGGGUUCGAUUCCGGAGAGGGAGCCUGAGAAACGGCUACCACAUCCAAGGAAGGCAGCAGGCGCGCAAAUUACCCACUCCCGGCACGGGGAGGCAGUGACGAAAAAUAACGAUACGGGACUCAUAUGAGGCUCCGUAAUCGGAAUGAGUACACUUUAAAUCCUUUAACGAGGAUCCACUGGAGGGCAAGUCUGGUGCCAGCAGCCGCGGUAAUUCCAGCUCCAGUAGUCUAUGCCAAAGUUGUUGCGGUUAAAAAGCUCGUAGUUGGAUCUCGGUUCGAGACGGUUGGACCGCCUUUCGGGCGGUUUUCCUGACCGCUGCGAACAGAAUGAACUGGCACGUCCGGCGGUGUUCUUCAUCGAGUGUCGUCGGGUGGCCGGUGCGUUUACUUUGAAAAAAUUAGAGUGCUCAAAGCAGGCGGAGAUGCCAGAAUAAUAGUGCAUGGAAUAAUGAAAUAGGAUCUCGGUUCUAUUUUGUUGGUUCUCGGAACGCGAGAUAAUGAUUAAUAGGAACAGACGGGGGCAUUCGUAUUGCGACGUUAGAGGUGAAAUUCUUGGAUCGUCGCAAG